Molecule: ribosomal RNA, 728 nt
Filed under: uncultured endophytic bacterium
Lineage: Bacteria
Description: bacterial SSU rRNA
Rfam family: Bacterial small subunit ribosomal RNA
Source: RNAcentral
AACAGGAUUAGAUACCCUGGUAGUCCACGCCCUAAACGAUGUCAACUAGUUGUUGGGUCUUCAUUGACUUAGUAACGUAGCUAACGCGUGAAGUUGACCGCCUGGGGAGUACGGUCGCAAGAUUAAAACUCAAAGGAAUUGACGGGGACCCGCACAAGCGGUGGAUGAUGUGGAUUAAUUCGAUGCAACGCGAAAAACCUUACCUACCCUUGACAUGGUCGGAACCCUGCUGAAAGGUGGGGGUGCUCGAAAGAGAACCGAUACACAGGUGCUGCAUGGCUGUCGUCAGCUCGUGUCGUGAGAUGUUGGGUUAAGUCCCGCAACGAGCGCAACCCUUGUCCUUAGUUGCUACGCAAGAGCACUCUAAGGAGACUGCCGGUGACAAACCGGAGGAAGGUGGGGAUGACGUCAAGUCCUCAUGGCCCUUAUGGGUAGGGCUUCACACGUCAUACAAUGGUCGGAACAGAGGGCUGCCAACCCGUGAGGGGGAGCUAAUCCCAGAAAACCGAUCGUAGUCCGGAUCGUAGUCUGCAACUCGACUACGUGAAGCUGGAAUCGCUAGUAAUCGCGGAUCAGCGUGCCGCGGUGAAUACGUUCCCGGGUCUUGUACACACCGCCCGUCACACCAUGGGAGUGGGUUUUACCAGAAGUGGCUAGUCUAACCGCAAGGAGGACGGUCACCACGGUAGGAUUCAUGACUGGGGUGAAGUCGUAACAAGGUAACCGUA